Oncorhynchus tshawytscha (Chinook salmon) is the source of this 2240-nucleotide long non-coding RNA. NCBI's taxonomy places the organism in Eukaryota, Metazoa, Chordata, Actinopteri, Salmoniformes, Salmonidae. The record is from Ensembl.
AUAUAUAUAUAUAUAUACAUUUUAAACGCGUCUUAUCUCUUAAUGUCUAAAAUGCGGGGGGAAAAAAAGGGGAGAAACACACCGAUAUGAAACGUGUAUCAAUAUAUAGGUUUAUUGUGAUUCGGAUAUUUGUUUUGUAAAAACAUGACGCAACAUUUGCUGUACAGAAUAAUGAGUUCACAGUUUGAUACAGAAUGAUCAGAAGACGCACACUCCCGUUUGAAUUGACAACCCCACAUACAAUACAAAGAUAGAGUUGAAUACAGAUUCACAACCUUAUAUAUAUAUAUAUAUAUAUAUAAAAAAAAAAUGUUUUUUUAUAUAAUUCAUUGAUAAAAAAAAAAAAUUAAAAAUGUUUUAAAAAAAAAUUAUUUAUCAUCAUGCUUUAUAAAAUGCCUUUAAUUGCCCAUUUCAGUCUAAUAAUCAUUUAUAAAAUAUAUUACAACAAUUCAUCAUCAUAUUACAUCUGCAUAGUUAAAAAACCAACGCAAACCAAACGUGUGUGUGUGUGUAUAUAUAAUCCUGCUAUUAAAUGGAAAAAGCCAGAUUACAUUAAUCCCAAAACAGUGAUAUUGGGUCAGUCUGAUGUUUCCCUCUCCUCGGGGUUAAAGGUUAAGGACUGUGAGAUGCUAAAACUGACCCCAGAUCUGUGACUGUUUCCCUCUCCUCAGGGUUAAAGGUUAAGGACUGUGGGAUGCUAAAACUGAUCCCAGAUCUGUGACUGUUUCCCUCUCCUCAGGGUUAAAGGUUAAGGACUGUGAGAUGCUAAAACUGACCCCAGAUCUGUGACUGUUUCCCUCUCCUCAGGGUUAAUGGUUAAGGACUGUGGGAUGGUAAAACUGAUCCCAGAUCUGUGACUGUUUCCCUCUCCUCAGGGUUAAUGGUUAAGGACUGACCCCAGAUCUGUGACUGUUUCUCUCUCCUCAGGGUUAAUGGUUAAGGACUGUGGGAUGGUAAAACUGACCACAGAACUGUGACUUGUAACUUGAACUGAGUUUAAUAAUGUUUCAAUCAAUACAUCAUCGCAUCAUUCAACCAACCAACAAAUGAUUGAUUGAAUAAUGAAUGGAUUUGAAUGAGAAUGUGCUGAUUGUCUGGUUCUGUGAAUGGUUUUAAAGUGCUCUCUAGUUUUCUUUACUCUGCAGGCUCACUAGUCUCCUCUGGGCUCCUCUAGCCUCCUCUAGCCCCCUCUGGCCCCUAGCCCCCUCUAGCCUCCUCUAGCCCCUAGCCCCCUCUGGGCUCCUCUAGCCCCUAGCCCCCCCUAGUCUCCUCUAGUCUCCCCUGGUCCCCUCUAGCCCCCUCUGGUCUCACUAUAUAGACUAUGUACAAUACAGGCCACCAGAAGGUAACUUUCAUAAGCAGUACGUUUAUAUGGCUGCGUUUACACAGGCAGCCCAAUUCUGAUCUUUCUUUUUUUCUCCCAACUAAAGCUGCGUUUACACAGGCAGCCCAAUUCUGAUCUUUCGCCCAAUUAUUGGCCAAAGAGCAGAUCUGAUUGGUCAAAAGACAAAUUAGAGGGGGGAUAAAGAUCAGAAUUGGGCUGCCUGUGUAAACGGAGGACAGACGAUCUACCAACAACACAUCCCUGUUUGACACCUGGGCUUUACCCUCUGAAUAUUAAAACCACGUCAUACAAUAACAAAACUAUCAGACAAUCACAUCAUACAAUACCAAAUAUAAAAUCACUGUUGUUGACACACACACACACACUCACUCACAGGAUAGUGGAACUAUGCCAGUCACUGCUGAUAGCUAGUGUUAGAUGGAGAGAGUCAGUGAGAUGUUGUGAUGUCAUCACACAGACAGGAUGUGAGGGGGCAUCAAACCUGCCAAGAUGGCCACCCAUUGGGGUUUGAGUGUUGUUGUUGAGUUUUGUAAAACAGGAAGUCACCAAACCUGCCAAGAUGGCCACCCAUUGGGGUUUGAGUCUUGUUGUUGAGUUUUGUAAAACAGGAAGUCACCAAACCUGCCAAGAUGGCCACCCAUUGGGGUUUGAGUCUUGUUGUUGUUGAGUUUUGUAAAACAGGAAGUCACCAAACCUGCCAAGAUGGCCACCCAUUGGGGUUUGAGUCUUGUUGUUGAGUUUUGUAAAACAGGAAGUCACCAAACCUGCCAAGAUGGCCACCCAUUGGGGUUUGAGUCUUGUUGUUGUUGAGUUUUGUAAAACAGGAAGUCACCAAACCUGCCAAGAUGGCCACCCAUUGGGGUUUGAGUCUUGUUGUUGAGUUUUGUAAAACAGG